Molecule: ribosomal RNA, 496 nt
Filed under: uncultured bacterium
Lineage: Bacteria
Description: partial 16S ribosomal RNA
Rfam family: Bacterial small subunit ribosomal RNA
Source: RNAcentral
AUGAACGCUGGCGGCGUGCCUAAUCCAUGCAAGUCGAGCGAACAGACGAGGAGCUUGCUCCUCUGACGUUAGCGGCGGACGGGUGAGUAACACGUGGAUAACCUACCUAUAAGACUGGGAUAACUUCGGGAAACCGGAGCUAAUACCGGAUAAUAUAUUGAACCGCAUGGUUCAAUAGUGAAAGACGGUUUUGCUGUCACUUAUAGAUGGAUCCGCGCCGCAUUAGCUAGUUGGUAAGGUAACGGCUUACCAAGGCGACGAUGCGUAGCCGACCUGAGAGGGUGAUCGGCCACACUGGAACUGAGACACGGUCCAGACUCCUACGGGAGGCAGCAGUAGGGAAUCUUCCGCAAUGGGCGAAAGCUUGACGGAGCAACGCCGCGUGAGUGAUGAAGGUCUUCGGAUCGUAAAACUCUGUUAUUAGGGAAGAACAAAUGUGUAAGUAACUAUGCACGUCUUGACGGUACCUAAUCAGAAAGCCACGGCUAACUACGUG